Long non-coding RNA from Prosopis cineraria, 1111 nucleotides. RefSeq lists it as uncharacterized. The transcript has 3 exons. Lineage: Eukaryota; Viridiplantae; Streptophyta; Magnoliopsida; Fabales; Fabaceae. The record is from RefSeq and is a predicted model, not a curated record.
ACAGGCAAACUGAAGGGUUUUCUCACAAGCUAACGCAUAACUUACCAAAGACUAUAAUCUUUUCAACAGUGUCAGGAAUGCUCUAGGUAAAUCGCUCUCCUCAGAAUGCUCUUCAGACAUUUUCAGUGUACUCGAGCAUAUUUUGUUCACUGUUUAUUUUUCUCCAUGUCUUCGAUCCCUCUUUUAAUAUUUUUCACAAUGAUGACGGUUUGAGUCAAAAUUCUUCCAUAAUUUUUUGAUCUUCAAAGUUCUUUUUCCUUUCACAUAGACAAUGUUUAUUUCCCCAUAGCUAGGUUCCUCAUGAAUGAUGGAGCAUCUGCAGAGCAGCUCUCAUAUUGCAGGUUUGUUCCUGGCUCACUUGAAGAAGCAGCUUAAUCAGAAAUACUCUCCUCACAAAAUAGCGUUGGUUUUGCAGGACUUGGGAAGCCUGCAAUUACACUGCCAACUGUCGAGCAUUAUCAUAACUUUUGACACGGACCAAAUUACAUCAGCAACAGAACAACACAAGACGCCCGCAUCACCCGAUAGGCUAAAAUAUGAUGAGUUCUUUCUAAUGAUGAUUUUAAGUAGAACUACACCAAAAGUGAAAAGGUCAGAUUUAACAGGCAAAAAUCAAUCUAUUGCCAACUCUGGACAAAUAUAUUCAGCAUAAAAAAAGUUUGUUUGAAAAAGGAAUCUUUCGUUUAUAGUAGUAUAUCCUUAUGUGUUGUCAAAAUAAAAGCUAGAAUUAUAGAGGCAGUUGAAGGUGGUGAUGGUGAACGUUGAUUUGAUAUUCGCAUUGAUUAAAAGAGAAAAUUUCUUAAAAGAACAAACAAGAAGUAGCUCAUGGCCCCUGUAGAACUGAGUGCUGUUUCAGACAAGCCUUCACGGCACUAAACAUUCUGAAUUGCUGGUACUCUCAACUGGAAUACUUCCUUCAGGUUUACUGGAAGAAGUAGAGCUAGAAAGGCCUCUUGUCUUAAAAAAGGUUGGUUGCUUUGGAGUUGGGAGGCUUGCAGUCUCGCUUUCAAGCAUUAUCACUAUUUGUGACAUGGUGGGCCUUUCUCUUGGUUCAUCUUGUACGCACAAUAAACUCACUUGCACACACCUAAUGAAUUGAUUUAACAUCGCA